This 598-nucleotide ribosomal RNA is filed under the name Orbilia nemaspora. Its description in RNAcentral is "Orbilia sp. 4201 partial large subunit ribosomal RNA". It matches the Rfam family "Eukaryotic large subunit ribosomal RNA", at positions 254 to 874 of the family's 3401-position model. The record is from RNAcentral. Lineage: Eukaryota; Fungi; Ascomycota; Orbiliomycetes; Orbiliales; Orbiliaceae.
CCUUCGAAGAGUCGAGUUGUUUGGGAAUGCAGCUCAAAAUGGGUGGUAAAUUUCAUCUAAAGCUAAAUAUUGGCGAGAGACCGAUAGCGCACAAGUAGAGUGAUNGAAAGAUGAAAAGCACUUUGAAAAGAGAGUUAAACAGUACGUGAAAUUGUUGAAAGGGAAGCGCUUGCAAUCAGNCCUGCUUGCGGUUGAUCAACGUUCCUUNUGGGUCGUGCACUCUGCCGUUUGCAGGCCAGCAUCGGUUAGAGCGGUGGGACAAAGGUAGCGGGAAUGUGGCUCCUUUCGGGGAGUGUUAUAGCCCGUUGCGUAAUNCCACCAGCUCUGACCGAGGUCCGCGGUUCGCCUAGGAUGCUGGCUUAAUGAUUGUAAGCGACCCGUCUUGAAACACGGACCAAGGAGUCUAACAUCUAUGCGAGUGUUUGGGUGCAAAACCCAUGCGCGAAAUGAAAGUGAACGGAGGUGGGAGUCUUCGGAUGCACCAUCGACCGAUCCUGAUGUCUUCGGAUGGAUUUGAGUAGGAGCAUAGCUGUUGGGACCCGAAAGAUGGUGAACUAUGCCUGAANAGGGUGAAGCCAGAGGAAACUCUGGUGGAGGC